CCCUUAGAUGUUCUGGGCCGCACCCGCGCUACAAUGACAAAGUCAACGAGUAGAUCCGUUACUGAUAAGUACCGGUAAUCUUUUCAGUCUUUGUCGUGAUGGGGAUAGACCCUUGUAAUUAUUGGUCUCCAACGAGGAAUUCCUAGUAAACGCAAGUCAUCAACUUGCAUUGAUUACGUCCCUGCCCUUUGUACACACCGCCCGUCGCACCUACCGAUUGAAUGGCCCGGUGAAGUCUUCGGACUGGAGCUGACUCGUUAGCUCCAGAAAGUUGAGUAAACCUUACCAUUUAGAGGAAGGUGAAGUCGUAACA
Molecule: ribosomal RNA, 313 nt
Filed under: uncultured eukaryote
Lineage: Eukaryota
Description: partial 18S ribosomal RNA
Rfam family: Eukaryotic small subunit ribosomal RNA
Source: RNAcentral